AGAUUAAGUUAUUAAGGGCGCACGGUGGAUGCCUUGGCACUAGAAGCCGAUGAAGGACGUUACUAACGACGAUAUGCUUUGGGUAGCUGUAAGUAAGCGUUGAUCCAGAGAUUUCCGAAUGGGGGAACCCAGCAUGAGUUAUGUCAUGUUAUCGACAUGUGAAUUUAUAGCAUGUCAGAAGGCAGACCCGGAGAACUGAAACAUCUUAGUACCCGGAGGAAGAGAAAGAAAAAUCGAUUCCCUGAGUAGCGGCGAGCGAAACGGGAAGAGCCCAAACCAACAAGCUUGCUUGUUGGGGUUGUAGGACACUCUAUACGGAGUUACAAAAGAACAUGUUAGACGAAUCAUCUGGAAAGAUGAAUCAAAGAAGGUAAUAAUCCUGUAGUCGAAAACAUAUUCUCUCUUGAGUGGAUCCUGAGUACGACGGAGCACGUGAAAUUCCGUCGGAAUCUGGGAGGACCAUCUCCUAAGGCUAAAUACUCUCUAGUGACCGAUAGUGAACCAGUACCGUGAGGGAAAGGUGAAAAGUACCCCGGAAGGGGAGUGAAAGAGAACUUGAAACCGUGUGCUUACAAGUAGUCAGAGCCCGUUAAUGGGUGAUGGCGUGCCUUUUGUAGAAUGAACCGGCGAGUUACGAUCUGAUGCAAGGUUAAGCAGCAAAUGUGGAGCCGCAGCGAAAGCGAGUCUGAAUAGGGCGUUGAGUAUUUGGUCGUAGACCCGAAACCAGGUGAUCUACCCUUGGUCAGGUUGAAGUUCAGGUAACACUGAAUGGAGGACCGAACCGACUUACGUUGAAAAGUGAGCGGAUGAACUGAGGGUAGCGGAGAAAUUCCAAUCGAACUUGGAGAUAGCUGGUUCUCUCCGAAAUAGCUUUAGGGCUAGCCUCAAGUGAUGAUUAUUGGAGGUAGAGCACUGUUUGGACGAGGGGCCCCUCUCGGGUUACCGAAUUCAGACAAACUCCGAAUGCCAAUUAAUUUAACUUGGGAGUCAGAACAUGGGUGAUAAGGUCCGUGUUCGAAAGGGAAACAGCCCAGACCACCAGCUAAGGUCCCAAAAUAUAUGUUAAGUGGAAAAGGAUGUGGCGUUGCCCAGACAACUAGGAUGUUGGCUUAGAAGCAGCCAUCAUUUAAAGAGUGCGUAAUAGCUCACUAGUCGAGUGACACUGCGCCGAAAAUGUACCGGGGCUAAACAUAUUACCGAAGCUGUGGAUUGUCCUUUGGACAAUGGUAGGAGAGCGUUCUAAGGGCGUCGAAGCAUGAUCGCAAGGACAUGUGGAGCGCUUAGAAGUGAGAAUGCCGGUGUGAGUAGCGAAAGACGGGUGAGAAUCCCGUCCACCGAUUGACUAAGGUUUCCAGAGGAAGGCUCGUCCGCUCUGGGUUAGUCGGGUCCUAAGCUGAGGCCGACAGGCGUAGGCGAUGGAUAACAGGUUGAUAUUCCUGUACCACCUAGUAUCGUUUUAAUCGAUGGGGGGACGCAGUAGGAUAGGCGAAGCGUGCUGUUGGAGUGCACGUCCAAGCAGUAAGGCUGAGUGUUAGGCAAAUCCGGCACUCAUAAGGCUGAGCUGUGAUGGGGAGAGGAAAUUGUUUCCUCGAGUCGUUGAUUUCACACUGCCGAGAAAAGCCUCUAGAUAGAUAACAGGUGCCCGUACCGCAAACCGACACAGGUAGUCAAGAUGAGAAUUCUAAGGUGAGCGAGCGAACUCUCGUUAAGGAACUCGGCAAAAUGACCCCGUAACUUCGGGAGAAGGGGUGCUCUUUAGGGUUCACGCCCAGAAGAGCCGCAGUGAAUAGGCCCAAGCGACUGUUUAUCAAAAACACAGGUCUCUGCUAAACCGUAAGGUGAUGUAUAGGGGCUGACGCCUGCCCGGUGCUGGAAGGUUAAGAGGAGUGGUUAGCUUCUGCGAAGCUACGAAUCGAAGCCCCAGUAAACGGCGGCCGUAACUAUAACGGUCCUAAGGUAGCGAAAUUCCUUGUCGGGUAAGUUCCGACCCGCACGAAAGGCGUAACGAUUUGGGCACUGUCUCAACGAGAGACUCGGUGAA
Molecule: ribosomal RNA, 2041 nt
Filed under: Ligilactobacillus ruminis
Lineage: Bacteria; Bacillati; Bacillota; Bacilli; Lactobacillales; Lactobacillaceae
Description: partial 23S ribosomal RNA
Rfam family: Bacterial large subunit ribosomal RNA
Source: RNAcentral